This 1192-nucleotide long non-coding RNA is filed under the name Homo sapiens (human). RNAcentral's name for it is "HSALNT0291792". The record is from RNAcentral. Lineage: Eukaryota; Metazoa; Chordata; Mammalia; Primates; Hominidae.
GCCGGUACCCGGCUGUAAGGCAAGCUGGGAUGCGCGGAGUAGCGGGUGGAAAGCUGGACUGGAGUUCUCACUCGGCCGCUGGGUGACUUCGGUGCACUAGGGAUAGUAACAGUACCACCUCGUAGGGUUGUAGAAAGACCAAGUGAGUUAAUAUUUGUAAAGUGUUUAGAACAGCGUCUACUGCAUGGAAAGUAGUAUUUAUUUGUUAGAGAGACUCCAGGAGGUCUUGCCCAGGGAUUGACUUCUCCCUUCCCUGUCUCCACCCCCCACAUUCCCGUUUGUGAGCCAAGCCUUGCUUUUGCACCGGCCGGGCUCUCUUGCCUGGAAAUGCAUACCCAUCUCAAACCUGGGCUUUAAAAUCACCUCCUCUGGGACGCCUUCCUCUACUUCUCACAGUUCAGGCCUGUUCUGCCCCACACAGCAGAAAAUGCCCACGAUGCAAUACCAGAGUCUGCAUGGGACCAUUUCAACAACCCUUAGAAGCUGACUCAGCUGUCUCCUGGCCCUGACUUUUCUAAGAUGAGAGGAGCUGGUAGGAACAAUUUGGCCCCCAGAUGACUGCAGCGCUGGUCAACACCUGGAUUCCAACCUCAUGAGAAACCCAGAACCAGAACCACCCAGCUGAGCUGCUCCUGAAUUCCUGUGGAAACUGAGAUAGUCAAUGUUCAUUUUAAGCCACUAAGUUUAGGAUAAUUUGUUACUCAGCAAUAGAUAACUAACACAUACAUCUUGCACAUAUUUAAUUAAGUGUAUCACUAAGUAUUUGAUGUGGCUUUUUUGUUUUGUUUUGUUUGAGACGGAUUUUCGCUCUUGUUGCCCAGGCUGGAGUGCAAUGGUGCGAUCUUGGCUCACCACCACCUCCGCCUCCCGGGCUCAAGUGAUUCUCCCGCAUCAGCCUCCUGAGUAGCUGGGAUUGCAGGAUGCGCCACCACACCUGGCUAAUUUUUGUGUUUUUAGUAGAGACAGGAUUUCUCCAUGUUGGUCAGGCUGGCCUCGAACUCCUGACAUCAGGUGAUCCGCCCGCCUCGGCCUCCCAAAGUGCUAGGAUUACAGGCGUGAGCCACUGCAUCCAGCCUAAGUAUUUGAUGUUUUUAUGUACUUUUAAGAAGUGUUUGUAAAAUUCCAGUUUCCAAUUGUUGGUUGCUUGUAUAUAGAAAUAUAAUUGAUUUUAAAAUAUUGACUUUGUGUUCUG